RNAcentral lists this ribosomal RNA (475 nucleotides) under uncultured bacterium. Its description in RNAcentral is "bacterial SSU rRNA". It matches the Rfam family "Bacterial small subunit ribosomal RNA", at positions 28 to 502 of the family's 1533-position model. The record is from RNAcentral.
GACGAACGCUGGCGGCGUGCCUAACACAUGCAAGUCAACUUGACUGAAGGAGCAAUCUGACAGUAGAGUGGCGCAAGGGUGCGUAACGCGUAAGUAACUUGCCCCAAGGUAAGGAAUAACGUCGAGAAAUCGGCGCUAAUACCUCAUAAUGCAGCGGAUCCGCAUGGAUAUGUUGUUAAAGGUUUACCGCCUUGGGAUAGGCUUGCGUCUGAUUAGUUAGUUGGUGUGGUAACGGCACACCAAGGCUACGAUCAGUAACUGGUCUGAGAGGAUGAUCAGUCACACUGGAACUGAGACACGGUCCAGACUCCUACGGGAGGCAGCAGUGAGGAAUAUUGGGCAAUGCUCGAAAGAGUGACCCAGCAACGCCGCGUGGAGGAUGAAGGUAUUCUAUAUCGUAAACUCCUGUGAGAGCAGACGAAAGACAGAUUAUUAAUCUGGAUGACUGUAUGCUCAGAGGAAGCCCCGGCUAACU